RNAcentral lists this long non-coding RNA (316 nucleotides) under Phoenix dactylifera (date palm). Its description in RNAcentral is "long non-coding RNA (PDAC_LNC013134)". Lineage: Eukaryota; Viridiplantae; Streptophyta; Magnoliopsida; Arecales; Arecaceae. The record is from RNAcentral.
AUUCCUUGACAAAGAAGAGAAGAACCAUAUCAAAGCGAUAACUAUAUUCUAACUCUUCUUUGUAGCUUAUAUUUGUUAUAUCUGCUCAUCUAGGAGUUUCAACCUUCUUCUUCUUAAAAUCUUGUAAGGUUUGUUGGUGAGCCCGUAAAACCAACGGUGUAGGUUUGUUGGUGAACCCGUAAAACUAACGGUGAAGGUUUGUUGGUGAGCCCGUAAAACCAACAUAGGUUUUUAGUGAUCCCGGAAAACCAAGUGUAAAGGUUUUUGGAUUGUGAGCCCGAAAAACAAUCCAACUGUAAUCCGCGAGAUUAUAGUG